RNAcentral lists this ribosomal RNA (498 nucleotides) under uncultured bacterium. RNAcentral describes it as "partial 16S ribosomal RNA". It matches the Rfam family "Bacterial small subunit ribosomal RNA", at positions 30 to 523 of the family's 1533-position model. The record is from RNAcentral.
AUUGAACGCUGGCGGCAUGCCUUACACAUGCAAGUCGAACGGUAACAGGUCUUCGGAUGCUGACGAGUGGCGAACGGGUGAGUAAUACAUCGGAACGUGCCUAGUAGUGGGGGAUAACUACUCGAAAGAGUGGCUAAUACCGCAUGAGAUCUACGGAUGAAAGCAGGGGAUCGCAAGACCUUGUGCUACUAGAGCGGCCGAUGGCAGAUUAGGUAGUUGGUGGGAUAAAAGCUUACCAAUCCGACGCUCUGUAGCUGGUCUGAGAGGACGAGCAGCCACACUGGGACUGAGACACGGCCCAGACUCCGACGGAAGGCAGCAGUGGGGAAUUUUGGACAAUGGGCGAAAGCCUGAUCCAGCAAUGCCGCGUGCAGGAUGAAGGCCUUCGGGUUGUAAACUGCUUUUGUACGGAACGAAAAGCCCUGGGUUAAUACCCUGGGGUCAUGACGGUACCGUAAGAAUAAGCACCGGCUAACUACGUGCCAGCCGCCGCGGUAA